UACGUAGGGUGCGAGCGUUAAUCGGAAUUACUGGGCGUAAAGCGUGCGCAGGCGGUUUUUGUAAGACAGGCGUGAAAUCCCCGGGCUCAACCUGGGAAUGGCGCUUGUGACUGCAAAGCUGGAGUGCGGCAGAGGGGGAUGGAAUUCCGCGUGUAGCAGUGAAAUGCGUAGAUAUGCGGAGGAACACCGAUGGCGAAGGCAAUCCCCUGGGCCUGCACUGACGCUCAUGCACGAAAGCGUGGGGAGCAAACAGG
Molecule: ribosomal RNA, 254 nt
Filed under: uncultured bacterium
Lineage: Bacteria
Description: partial 16S ribosomal RNA
Rfam family: Bacterial small subunit ribosomal RNA
Source: RNAcentral